UACAGAGGUCUCAAGCGUUGUUCGGAAUUACUGGGCGUAAAGGGCUCGUAGGCGGCCAACUAAGUCGGAUGUGAAAUCCCCAGGCUUAACCUGGGAACUGCAUCCGAUACUGGAUGGCUUGAAUCCGGGAGAGGGAUGCAGAAUUCCAGGUGUAGCGGUGAAAUGCGUAGAUAUCUGGAGGAAUACCGGUGGCGAAGGCGGCAUCCUGGACCGGCAUUGACGCUGAGUGAGCGAAAGCUAGGGGAGCAAACGGG
This 254-nucleotide ribosomal RNA is filed under the name uncultured bacterium. Its description in RNAcentral is "partial 16S ribosomal RNA". It matches the Rfam family "Bacterial small subunit ribosomal RNA", at positions 524 to 776 of the family's 1533-position model. The record is from RNAcentral.